RNAcentral lists this ribosomal RNA (1106 nucleotides) under Albugo candida. Its description in RNAcentral is "eukaryotic LSU rRNA". It matches the Rfam family "Eukaryotic large subunit ribosomal RNA", at positions 44 to 960 of the family's 3401-position model. Lineage: Eukaryota; Oomycota; Peronosporomycetes; Albuginales; Albuginaceae. The record is from RNAcentral.
AACUAAGCGGAGGAAAAGAAACUAACAAGGAUUCCCCUAGUAACGGCGAGUGAAGCGGGAAGAGCUCAAGCUUGAAAUCUCCGCACAAGUUUUGUGUGGCGAAUUGUAGUCUAUAGAAGCGAUGUCAGCAUAGCUGCUCUAGUCAAGUUCCUUGGAAAAGGACAGCAUGGAGGGUUAUACUCCCGUCAUUGCUGGAGCAUGCUGUGUGUACGACACGUUUUCUUUGAGUCGCGUUGUUUGGGAAUGCAGCGCAAAGUAGGUGGUAAAUUCCAUCUAAAGCUAAAUAUAAGUGCGAGACCGAUAGCGAACAAGUACCGUGAGGGAAAGAUGAAAAGAACUUUGAAAAGAGAGUUAAAGAGUACCUGAAACUGCUGAAAGGGAAGCGAAUCGUAUCCAGUGUCUAUAAUCCGCAACAUAUUACAAUGAUGUGUCUUUGCUUUCCGCGUGUAGGUAGUAGCCUUGGUUGCACCUUGCGUGGAUUGGUUGAGACAUAUCGUUGCCCUGUGUUGUGGUGGGACGUCAAAGUCAGUUUGUACGUCGCAGGAAAUGAUUGACGAGGAAGAUAGGUUUGCUGCUUGCAGCGUUCCAUUAUAUCCUUAUCGAUGUCUGCUGUGACGGAGACUGAGGUGUCUUUAACAUGCUCUCGAGUCUAUUAGACAUUCACUUGGUUGAGUGCGUAGAUAGCUUGCUAUGUACGUGUUUAUACAGGGUGAUUGUGUUUGGUAGUAACUUGUUGCUGUUCGGGACUUUGGCGAAAUGGAGCGAUUCGGCCCGUCUYGAAACACGGACCAAGGAGUCUAACAUGUGUGCAAGUAUUUGGGUGUUGAAACCCCAGUGCGUAAUGAAAGUAAAGGGUAAUGUAGAUUGCCUUAGGUAGGAAAGCGCUGUAUGGUGCUGGCACUAUCGACCGAUCAUGAACCUUCGUGGUGAAAGAUUUGAGUUUGAGCACAUAUGUUGGUACCCGAAAGAUGGUGAACUAUGCCUGAGUAGGGUGAAGCCAGGGGAAACUCUGGUGGAAGCUCGUAGCGAUUCUGACGUGCAAAUCGAUCGUCAAACUUGGGUAUAGGGGCGAAAGACUAAUCGAACCAUCUAGUAGCUGGUUCCCU